GUGAGAGUAGCUCAGUUGGAUAGAGCACUGGAUUGUGGUUCCAGGGGUCGCCGGUUCGACUCCGGUCUCUCACC
Molecule: transfer RNA, 74 nt
Filed under: Sedimentisphaerales bacterium
Lineage: Bacteria; Pseudomonadati; Planctomycetota; Phycisphaerae; Sedimentisphaerales
Description: tRNA-His
Rfam family: tRNA
About the family: Transfer RNA (tRNA) molecules are approximately 80 nucleotides in length. Their secondary structure includes four short double-helical elements and three loops (D, anti-codon, and T loops).
Source: RNAcentral